GAUGAACGCUAGCGGCAGGCUUAACACAUGCAAGUCGAGGGGUAGAGUUCUUCGGAACUUGAGACCGGCGCACGGGUGCGUAACGCGUAUGCAAUCUACCUUUCACAGAGGGAUAGCCCAGAGAAAUUUGGAUUAAUACCUCAUAGUAUAAUGAUUCGGCAUCGAGACAUUAUUAAAGUCACAACGGUGAAAGAUGAGCAUGCGUCCCAUUAGCUAGAUGGUAAGGUAACGGCUUACCAUGGCAACGAUGGGUA
Molecule: ribosomal RNA, 254 nt
Filed under: uncultured bacterium
Lineage: Bacteria
Description: partial 16S ribosomal RNA
Rfam family: Bacterial small subunit ribosomal RNA
Source: RNAcentral